GGAGAGGUGGCAGAGUGGUCGAAUGCGCCUGACUCGAAAUCAGGUGUGCCCGUUCGGGUACCGGGGGUUCGAAUCCCUCCCUCUCCGCCA
Molecule: transfer RNA, 90 nt
Filed under: mine drainage metagenome
Description: tRNA-Ser
Rfam family: tRNA
About the family: Transfer RNA (tRNA) molecules are approximately 80 nucleotides in length. Their secondary structure includes four short double-helical elements and three loops (D, anti-codon, and T loops).
Source: RNAcentral